Molecule: ribosomal RNA, 320 nt
Filed under: uncultured eukaryote
Lineage: Eukaryota
Description: partial 18S ribosomal RNA
Rfam family: Eukaryotic small subunit ribosomal RNA
Source: RNAcentral
CCCCUAGAUGUUCUGGGCCGCACGCGCGCUACACUGAACAGUUCAACAAGUCUUAACCUUGGCCGAUAGGUCUGGGUAAUCUUUGAACGCUGUUCGUGAUUGGGAUAGACCUUUGCAAUUAUGGGUCUUCAACGAGAAAUUCCUAGUAAACGCAAGUCAUCAGCUUGCAUUGAUUACGUCCCUGCCCUUUGUACACACCGCCCGUCGCACCUACCGAUUGAAUGGUCCGGUGAAAUCUCGGGACGGCGGCUUGGUCGCUUGCGUCCGACUGCUGAAACUUGAUUAAACCCUAUCAUUUAGAGGAAGGUGAAGUCGUAACA